AUCAAUGAGACUCAAUGUGAUCCAUCCUCAACAUGCGAUAUAUCCAAUCCUACACUAAGCAUGAGCCACUGCCUCUCCAUGCUUCCACAUCGUGCCAACCAUAAGGAGAUUCAUCUCCAUGAUCUCCGGUGGGGGCUGCAUGAUAUGUCGCCAAUUCAUACCUUAACUACCGUAUAAAGUUUUUCCUUAGAUCGACGUUUCUUCUUUCUAAUAAUCGAUUUGUGUCACCCUGAUCCGUUAAUUUCUCCGUGGCUAUAAAAUACACCAAACUCAGCGUUGUCCUCUCCAGGACCUUUUCCUCCUAACAACAAUGCCACAUGACCCUCAUUGAUAAGGCUACAUCUGCUAUACUCAAUCCUACCUACUUUUUUAUCGUAAUGGAUCAUUGUUGUCGUCCUGUCAGCCACGACCACGACGUAUCCUCAAUAAUUA
Molecule: long non-coding RNA, 432 nt
Filed under: Setaria viridis
Lineage: Eukaryota; Viridiplantae; Streptophyta; Magnoliopsida; Poales; Poaceae
Description: long non-coding RNA (SVIR_LNC000265)
Source: RNAcentral